UGGGGAAUAUUGCACAAUGGGCGCAAGCCUGAUGCAGCCAUGCCGCGUGUGUGAAGAAGGCCUUCGGGUUGUAAAGCACUUUCAGCGAGGAGGAAGGGUAGUGUGUUAAUAGCACAUUGCAUUGACGUUACUCGCAGAAGAAGCACCGGCUAACUCCGUGCCAGCAGCCGCGGUAAUACGGAGGGUGCAAGCGUUAAUCGGAAUUACUGGGCGUAAAGCGCACGCAGGCGGUUUGUUAAGUCAGAUGUGAAAUCCCCGCGCUUAACGUGGGAACUGCAUUUGAAACUGGCAAGCUAGAGUCUUGUAGAGGGGGGUAGAAUUCCCAGGUGUAGCGGUGAAAUGCGUAGAGAUCUGGAGGAAUACCGGUGGCGAAGGCGGCCCCCUGGACA
Molecule: ribosomal RNA, 389 nt
Filed under: uncultured bacterium
Lineage: Bacteria
Description: partial 16S ribosomal RNA
Rfam family: Bacterial small subunit ribosomal RNA
Source: RNAcentral